AAUCUCUCCUUCCACUGCCAGACAAAUAUCAUGGUCUAACUGAUAUUAAUAAACGUUACCGCCAACGGUAUGUUGAUAUGAUUGCUAAUCCUGAAGUGGCUGAUGUGUUCCGGAGAAGGGCAAAAAUCGUUUCAGAGAUA
Non-coding RNA from Camelina sativa (false flax), 140 nucleotides. The record is from RefSeq and is a predicted model, not a curated record. Lineage: Eukaryota; Viridiplantae; Streptophyta; Magnoliopsida; Brassicales; Brassicaceae.